This 419-nucleotide ribosomal RNA is filed under the name uncultured bacterium. RNAcentral describes it as "bacterial SSU rRNA". It matches the Rfam family "Bacterial small subunit ribosomal RNA", at positions 358 to 774 of the family's 1533-position model. The record is from RNAcentral.
GGAAUAUUGGACAAUGGCCGGAAGGCUGAUCCAGCCAUGCCGCGUGCGGGAAGGCGGCCCUAUGGGUUGUAAACCGCUUUUGCGGGGGAGCAAUAAGGUGCACGCGUGCACCGAUGAGAGUACCCUGCGAAUAAGCAUCGGCUAACUCCGUGCCAGCAGCCGCGGUAAUACGGAGGAUGCGAGCGUUAUCCGGAUUUAUUGGGUUUAAAGGGUGCGUAGGCGGAAGGUUAAGCGUGAGGUGAAAUGCUGCUGCUCAACAGCAGAACUGCCUCGCGAACUGGUCUUCUGGAAUGCCCCUGCCGUGGGAGGAAUGUGUGGUGUAGCGGUGAAAUGCAUAGAGAUCACACAGAACACCGAUUGCGAAGGCAUCUCACGAAGGGGUGAUUGACGCUGAGGCACGAAAGCGUGGGGAUCAAACA